Molecule: transfer RNA, 66 nt
Filed under: Propsilocerus paradoxus
Lineage: Eukaryota; Metazoa; Arthropoda; Insecta; Diptera; Chironomidae
Description: tRNA-Tyr
Rfam family: tRNA
About the family: Transfer RNA (tRNA) molecules are approximately 80 nucleotides in length. Their secondary structure includes four short double-helical elements and three loops (D, anti-codon, and T loops).
Source: RNAcentral
GAUUAAAUGGCUGAAGAUUAGGCAAUAGACUGUAAAUCUAUUUAUGGGAUUUAUUCUCUUUAAUCA